ACUGCUCAGUAACACGUGGACAACCUAACCUACAGAAGGGGAUAACCCCGGGAAACUGGGGAUAAUACCCUAUAGACUAUGAAUGCUGGAAUGCUUCGUAGCCGAAAGGUCCGCCGCUGUAGGAUGGGUCUGCGGCCGAUUAGGUUGUUGUUGGGGUAACGGCCCAACAAGCCUGUAAUCGGUACGGGUUGUGGGAGCAAGAGCCCGGAGAUGGAUUCUGAGACACGAAUCCAGGCCCUACGGGGCGCAGCAGGCGCGAAAACUUUACAAUGCGGGAAACCGUGAUAAGGGAACUCUGAGUGCCCGUAAAAUCGGGCUGUCCAUCAGUUUAAAUAACUGGUGAAGAAAGGGCCGGGCAAGACCGGUGCCAGCCGCCGCGGUAAUACCGGCGGCUCGAGUGGUGGCCACUAUUACUGGGCUUAAAGCGUUCGUAGCUGGUUUGUUAAGUCUCUGGGGAAAUCUUCCGGCUUAACCGGAAGGCGUCUCAGGGAUACUGGCAGACUAGGGACCGGAAGAGGUGAGAGGUACUCCAGGGGUAGGAGUGAAAUCCUGUAAUCCUUGGGGGACCACCUGUGGCGAAGGCGUCUCACCAGAACGGCUCCGACAGUGAGGGACGAAAGCUGGGGGAGCAAACCGGAUUAGAUACCCGGGUAGUCCCAGCCGUAAACGAUGUGCAUUAGGUGUAUCGGUGACCACGAGUCACCGAGGUGCCGAAGAGAAAUCGUGAAAUGCACCGCCUGGGAAGUACGGUCGCAAGGCUGAAACUUAAAGGAAUUGGCGGGGGAGCACCACAACAGGUGGAGCCUGCGGUUUAAUCGGACUCAACGCCGGGAAACUCACCAGAUAAGACAGCUGAAUGAUAGUCGGGCUGAAGACUCUACUUGACUAGCUGAGAGGAGGUGCAUGGCCGUCGUCAGUUCGUACUGUGAAGCAUCCUGUUAAGUCAGGCAACGAGCGAGACCCCCGCC
RNAcentral lists this ribosomal RNA (968 nucleotides) under uncultured archaeon. RNAcentral describes it as "bacterial SSU rRNA". It matches the Rfam family "Archaeal small subunit ribosomal RNA", at positions 85 to 1058 of the family's 1478-position model. The record is from RNAcentral.